UUACACCAUAUUGACCCAUUCUUUUCUUAGGCAAUGAUGGGCGAGUUGAUCAUUUUCUCAUCAUAAAAAGUUUGGUACUGAGUUGAUCAUUUUCUCAUCAUAAAAAGUUUGGUACUGAGUUGAUCAUUUUCUUGUCAUAUAAAUAUAACGAAUGUCUCUUCUUCUUAAACUUUAGUCCUCGUUCAUACUUUGGGGUAAAAGUCU
RNAcentral lists this long non-coding RNA (204 nucleotides) under Lathyrus oleraceus (garden pea). Its description in RNAcentral is "Pisum sativum (pea) long non-coding RNA (PSAT_LNC013386)". Lineage: Eukaryota; Viridiplantae; Streptophyta; Magnoliopsida; Fabales; Fabaceae. The record is from RNAcentral.